CCAUAUCACAUUAAAACACCAGUUCUUGUAUGAUCACCAAAGUUAAGCAAUGUUGAGUCUGGUCAGUACUUAGAUGAGUGACCACUUGGAAAUACUAGGUGCUGUAA
Non-coding RNA from Acanthosepion pharaonis, 107 nucleotides. NCBI's taxonomy places the organism in Eukaryota, Metazoa, Mollusca, Cephalopoda, Sepiida, Sepiidae. The record is from the annotation of a GenBank genome assembly.